AAGUCGUAACAAGGUUUCCGUAGGUGAACCUGCGGAAGGAUCAUUAAUGAAAUUAUAAUCCGGCGAGGGAAAGGCCGGGAGAACUGUCGCUGGCCCGCUUAAAACGGGCAUGUGCACGCUCUCUUUCUCGACCUUCGCCGUAUGGGCGUGUGGGGGGCCAACCCCCCCGCGUCUUCAUAUACCUCUUCGUGUAGAAAGUCUUUGAACGUUUUUAUCAUCGUCGAGUCGCGACUUCCAGGAGACGCGAUUCUUCGAGACAAAAGUUAUUACAACUUUCAGCAAUGGAUCUCUUGGCUCUC
This 299-nucleotide unclassified non-coding RNA is filed under the name Suillus cothurnatus. Its description in RNAcentral is "partial internal transcribed spacer region". The stretch from base 1 to 46 matches the Rfam family "Eukaryotic small subunit ribosomal RNA", at positions 1786 to 1831 of the family's 1831-position model. The record is from RNAcentral. Lineage: Eukaryota; Fungi; Basidiomycota; Agaricomycetes; Boletales; Suillaceae.